GAGGAAUAAAAGUGCAGACGGGUGCGUUCCCUCAGAGAGCGAGGACAGAUGUAGAAAUUAGAAAAAACCAUAGCAGCAGAGGCAACAGAAACAGGAAAAAGACGGAGAAGAGAGAAGGAAGAGCGAGCGAGUGUGCACGCUUGAGGGUCAAAAGUAGGGAGAAAGCAGAAUAAGGGUUGAUAGACCGUGGAAUCUAAAAUAAUCACACACCCAGUUUUGGGUUUUGGUUGUUUUUGGGUUCUCUCCUUUUGCAACAUUUCUACUGGCAUGGAAUUGCUCAUCAAAUUCCUCUGCUGGGCAAUUUUUCAACAGAGCAAAUUUGGGGUUUCUUCCUCUCCUUCGCAGCUGCAGUAGCUUGAAGCACUUGGGGCUAGGCUGCAAGUUUAGGCCGAGGGUUUGGGCUUUAAUUAUUGAGUUCGGGUCUCCUCUUGUUUAUUAUGUUGGCCCUUUGUGGACUAUAUUCUUUGGCUAAUGCAACAAUACUUACUUAAUAUAAUGUAUAUAAUUAUAUAGAUAAACAGUUUGGUCCGGAUAAAAACUUUCCCCUGCCAUCAUUGUAACGUAAAUACCUCAUAACAUUAUCGCUCCAACAGUCUAGGACUAGGUGAUGGUAUUGGUAAUGGACCGGCAAAGAGAAGACCACCACCCUCACUGCUCACCGCCACCGCCACCGCCAAAAUAACGCCUCGGAUCACCAUGAGCGGCGUCCGUGUUAUUAUGAACACGAGCUCCAGCAUCACUACUUUAACCGCCACGAAUCAUUCCCCCCCAACACGACCAGGAUGCCCAAUUCAACAACCACGAUUACGACUCUAGCCACCAGACAAGCUUUGAACCUAAUGAACCAUCUGGAGCUGGAGGUGCAGAAUUCUGCUCCAGUGCACGCAAAAGAGGUCGAUUUCAUUCUGGCCUUGCUGGUUCAACUGGUAAUUGGUUCCUUUCAUCGCUCCUUCCUCUCCUUUAUAACAGUUGCCAUUUGCAAGUAUAUUUUAAUGUGGUCAAAUUUGUGUUCUGUUUCACUGGUUUAUUAAUCUUCUCAUGAAUUUGUUUUAUGCGCACUUAAUUUCCACUCUACUUUCUCCAAAUAGCUACAUUAAUAGCUGUAUGUACGAUUAAAUACUUGGCAAAGUUAUCAGUUUUUUCCAUGGAUGGAUUGAAAAGGUUUUAUGGAAUGAAUUUUUAGGAAUUUUCAACUCCAUACCUUUUAAAAUGAAUGGAAACUCAGUUCCAUCGUAAAGUACUCUUGGUCUUGGCAUAUCAGGUGCAUCUGGUACAGAAUUUUGGGUUCCUACUAACUAUUCUACCGUGUAUUUAAAGCUUUCCCGUAGGAAUUGAAUCAAGUUAAUUUGUAAUCGACAUGAAAUAUUCAAGUAAAGUAAUUUAUUCUACCUGUAAAUGUUACUGAUCGAUUGAUAUUUUCUUCACAUGCUGUUAGUUUGAUUUAUGUGGAAUGACAGCUUAUAGGUCACAGUUAUGGUAGUUUUCCUCAUAUUUGAAAUUGCAAUUUUUUUUUUUUUUUUUUAACUUUGAAAGUAACGGAGUUAAAUGAGAUUUGGUUUGCUUUCUUCCUUGUCUCUGUUACAAGGAAUCUGCUCUAAAAUCUGUUAAGUUGAAGGCUAUGGGUGGGAUGUGUCUACGAUUGUAUUCAUUGCAUAGGUAACAGUUCUUGCGUGUGAUAUACAAUGCAACAAAUUAUGGAUGUAUUCACUGAGUGCCAUGUAAACAAACAUCUUUUACUUGAAUUUGUGUAAAUAUAAUGUUUCCUAACUUAGUGCAAGUAUAAUGUUUCCUAAUAUCAACUAUGUUUUAUACAUCUACCUUUUUUUAAAGGAUUAUGGUUUAUAUACAAAUGUUCCCCAUAUAAGAUAUUUCUCCAUAUGGUCAUGUGGACGAUGUCUACAUUGCUCGAGACAUACUGUAGCAAAGUUGUGGUAUGCCCAGGCAAGGCAGGCCAGGGGCGCCUUGUUAAUAAAUUUGCUUCUUAGCUGGAAAUAUCUGUGAUUAUUGUAUUGAGAUAAAUUUAAUUUGUGCCAUGGUCUUCAUUUUAGACAGAGUGUGGUGUGUUUCACCUGGAUAGAUCCUGGGGUUUAUUUAGUCCCAUGAUCGUCAUUGUUUCUUUUCACAGUCUCUUCAUGCAUCAUUCACUGAACAACAAGAGAAACAAGCAAGCAAAGGCAUCAAAGCAGUUCAAUGAUACAUGUCUAAAUAUAAUGUUAUCAGCUUGUCUUCUUGUGUUUUGGCAGCCUAGUUAUGUUUGAAUCUGUGUCUGAAGUUAAAUAUGUCUCUGUUAGCUGGCAAACUGUGCCUUAUAGUGGCCCUGACUUGGUGGUGUUCUACGGUUUUAUGAAGGAUGUGCAUUUAUUAAAUUUUCUUACAGAGAUAUGGCAGUGGCAGCAAUUGAAGUAUUCAAUGGGACUUGCCCAAUGAAAGUAAAACACAUCUAUUGUUUUUAUGAGUAUCUUUAUGAUUUUACUUUUUGCUGUCUCAUUCUCUCUGUUCUUUUGAUCAUUUCCAGGGUUGUGAUUAGCCUUUAGUUAUUUGUUUUGCAGAUCCCAAAUGUGGAACAGGAGAGUUAAGGUUUUGCUUUUUUGUAUUUCUGGUCUUAUACACAAGCUGUUUAUCUGUGCUCGCUUAAGCAAAUAAAUAAAUGAAAAGUGUUGUCUAUUUUUUCGCUAUAAUCUUCUGCUAGUGAAUUGGGAAGUACAUAGUGGUGAUCAUGCAAUGCACUAACCUUCAAUUUGGAUAACUGCUUGAGAUCAUUAACUUAUUUUGGCUAUCUAAUGAUUUUUGCUGAUGCCAAAAUCCCACAGCACGCAAUUAAGUUAUGGCAUUUACUCAAGUUACCAUUUGACCUUGCCAAUAAAGAUACCAACAAGUUCUGCCUCUAUUUUUGCUUAAAGUAGAAGAUCAAACAGUGUAAUGGACAACCUAACAUAGAUUUAUUAGUUAAUCUUUGAUCGUUUUGGAUAAUCAUAUUAUGGACUGAAAUUUACUCCAAUUUCUGAAUGAUACAAAUUCAAUUGGCCACAUGCUCUUAAACUCCUAAUCAAUAAUUUAUUUCUCUUCCUCGGGGGAAAUUAUGCAUGUUGCAGACAAAUUUUUUUGGUCGAUGUUCACAUAAACUAAGGAUUAGGUACAUUUUGUUUCUUUAUUCUCCUUCCAAUUUUGACCUUGUGCUUCAUGUACCAAGUUGAGUUUUCUGCUGCAGGCCAAAUGGGAGCUUGUGUUUUGCCUAAUGCUUCAUACUCUAUGCAAUACAUUUUCCCAUUAUUCACAGCCACAAACUGUUACUCAUACAGUUGUACUGGCACUUGGAGCUCCUCAUAUCCCAGAACAAUCACUUCCUCCAAUAAAGCAGCCAUCAAACACAGUUGUGUCAGAUGCCAUUACAACAAACACAUGUUCCACAGAAUUGUUUGCAAUCAUCUCAACAAGAAGUCUCUGAAAUUUAGAGCAGCAGCAAAGCAUGCAAAUUACUCCUGAGAUCGUUGCAUCUGAACUUUGACUUGCCGUGGGAGAAGCCUGAUGAGUUCAUCUUAUUUCAGCAACAGUUGCAGAAGCAGCAAAAACUACAAAAUGCUAGCCAGCAACCUCAUUUCCGAUCAACAAGUCUUUGUGGUGAAGUUGAUCAAAUGCAAAAGGCACUUCUUUUUUAUCAUAAUCACACCAACACCUUCCUUGCUUAGCAGGUAGUUCUUUUAUAUUAUUUUCUAAUAACUUUUUUGCUUGUUUCAUUGUCAAUUAGGCUGCUGUCUUUGCCAUUAAAGAAUGCCAGGGUUCAUAAUCCAGCUCAGGAUGUGCAUGAGUGUAUAUUUUCUUUAGUAUAGGAAAUUGACUUUAAGGUGGCUUCCCAAUACAAAUUAAUAAGUAGCAAGUUAGAAUUGUCUAAUGAAAGUAAAAUGGUAGUCUAAUGGUUAACUUGAUCUCCCGUGUAAUUUCCACACAGUUGCACUCAUUUCUUGCGGUUCUUAGGGUUUUCUUUCCAAUUGUCAAAGAUUUGACACCGUAACAUAUCUCCAUUCUAAAUGUAUUUGCUGGUGAAUUGCUUUACAUGUGCAAACAUUCAAACUUUGACUGUGAUAUUUGCCAAAAAGCAUUUUAUUCUUGUAUAUUAAAGAUGCUGUAUCAAUUACUUUUAUUCUUCUUAACAACUGAGGGAAAUUUGCCAAAUUGAUAGAAACCCAUAAGCGUAUUUUCUAUCUCCAUGGAAAACCACUUUGAUCCUUAAUCAGAAAAGAUCUCAAUUAUUCCUUCGGGAUGGUGGACAUAAAAAUAUUAUCAUCUUAGAAUCUAAGAAAGGUUCUUUUAAAAUAAUUGUUUGAUUUCAAAAUUAUUUCAUUCUAAAGAUCUUAGUCCAAAAUGUCAGCUUUCUAAAUUCUCAUUGCCUCCCUCUUCACCAACUGGAUGUGAGUUUCCCAUUUUUAAUGGCUGACAAAUAGCAAUCGGACAGAGUAGUUGCUCAUUGUUGACUAUUUUUAUGGCUUCAUCAGUUUUAUGAGCAGUGAGGUUUUUUUUGCCAUAAAUUUGGAUUUGGUAUAACCUGGCCAUGAUUCAAUGCCUUUGGGCAUUGGUUGAUGAAAUGUUGCUAUAUGAUUGAUGAGAAUUGUGGCUUAAUGUUUGGAAAUUGUCAAAGCUUGGAUGGUCAGACUUCCCACAACCACAGGAUCUCAGCUGCGUUGAACCAUGUUCAACAGUGGGUUGUAGGGUUUCUGUCCUGCGCUGGAACGGAGAAUUAAUGCAGCAAUCUUGGUGCAGUGUUUUGGAAUUUUUUGCAUAUCUUGGAGGGUAGCAUUCAUGUACUUCAAGCUUGUUUCUUUUAGAUGUUCGAUGUUUCUGUGGUCAAUUUUAGUUUCUCUUGAUUGACUAGGUAGAGAGCAGAUUUCACUCUUAUGUGGAGUUUUUUUGGCAAGACCUGCAUCAUGUGCAAAUGAAGUCUAGUCCGGUUGUUGAUCCCGCCUGUGUUUAACAGGCGCCUAGUUUUAUGACUUGUACGAAACCCCACUAAAGGAUUGGAGUUAGCAGGCAUCUUUGGCGGUAAAUUGAGUUGAGCGCUUGUAAAAUUGAAGGUUGCCGUUGUUGGAUUGUGCUUUGGAUGAUGCAUUGUGACGAAAUGAAUUGAUGGCAAGUCCUGUAGGUUGUAUUUGUGGUUGCUUUUGAGGUUUGAUUGUUAAUAACUCCGUGCAAGAUUAAUACGAAACAUAGUUAACAUAGUUUCUUGCUAAGUCUCAGCAACUAUUCUUAAAGAGAAUUCGUUCUUAACAUUGACAAGGAUGUUUACAAAAGCAAUAGCGUUCCAGGAAACAAUUCAAGGCCAAUUCGUAGUCGCUGCAGUGAGGCAUUUUUUUUUCCCUUCCCUUUAUAUAUUAUUUAUUUUGCACCGUGGUUGUUACUGACUGAAGGAUUUGCCCAUGGUGGGAACUAAUGAACUGUUGCUGAAGUCACAGAGCAUAGAUCCUAGCAUUGUGCAUAUCAGAAAGUGGAUCAGCUUUUUCCAGCACACGCAACCCGAAGAUGCCUAAAUGGUGCCGAGUAUAAAUUCCAACGGGCAAUCUUCUAUUUUGGCGUUGAAUAUUGGCUGACGGUGGUUGAUCUCAAAUCCCAUGGCAAUCGAGUAACUUCGCAACUUUCUAUUUAAUAAGAUAUUAUUCAGCUUGUCAGAUAGAGUGUUGCUUUGAAAUCUAUUCUGGGCAUCCGGUAUUUCGAACCCUGAGAGGUUGGAGGAUGCGAUAGCAACAUCAUAUCGUGGAGUUUGCGACUACUCGAUCCAAGGGGAACUGUUCUAUUUCUGGGCGUUGGUGUGGACUCUCAUGAUCGCCUCUACUCUGUAUUAGCAUCGUGAACAAUGAGAAUAACAGUUCAAGCAUCUAUGCGAUAUUUUUUUUUUUUUGCAUAGCGUAUAGAUAAAUUAAGCAAAUGUUCUUAGCAAAUAGUAAUACAAGUUCACAUGGGCAGCGCAUAUAUAGAAUCACAGAAAGUAUUCAAUUCUUUAUUUA
RNA transcript from Manihot esculenta (cassava), 5993 nucleotides. RefSeq lists it as uncharacterized. NCBI's taxonomy places the organism in Eukaryota, Viridiplantae, Streptophyta, Magnoliopsida, Malpighiales, Euphorbiaceae. The record is from RefSeq and is a predicted model, not a curated record. The transcript has 3 exons.